Molecule: ribosomal RNA, 487 nt
Filed under: uncultured bacterium
Lineage: Bacteria
Description: bacterial SSU rRNA
Rfam family: Bacterial small subunit ribosomal RNA
Source: RNAcentral
CUACGUGCCAGCAGCCGCGGUAAUACGUAGGUCCCGAGCGUUAUCCGGAUUUAUUGGGCGUAAAGCGAGCGCAGGCGGUUAGAUAAGUCUGAAGUUAAAGGCUGUGGCUUAACCAUAGUACGCUUUGGAAACUGUUUAACUUGAGUGCAAGAGGGGAGAGUGGAAUUCCAUGUGUAGCGGUGAAAUGCGUAGAUAUAUGGAGGAACACCGGUGGCGAAAGCGGCUCUCUGGCUUGUAACUGACGCUGAGGCUCGAAAGCGUGGGGAGCAAACAGGAUUAGAUACCCUGGUAGUCCACGCCGUAAACGAUGAGCACUAGGUGUCGGGGUCGCAAGACUUCGGUGCCGCAGUUAACGCAUUAAGUGCUCCGCCUGGGGAGUACGCACGCAAGUGUAAAACUCAAAGGAAUUGACGGGGACCCGCACAAGCAGCGGAGCAUGUGGUUUAAUUCGAAGCAACGCGAAGAACCUUACCAGGACUUGACAUCC